Molecule: ribosomal RNA, 503 nt
Filed under: uncultured organism
Description: bacterial SSU rRNA
Rfam family: Bacterial small subunit ribosomal RNA
Source: RNAcentral
AACUAACGCUGGCGGCGUGCCUAACACAUGCAAGUCGAACGAGAAAGUUGGCUUCGGCCGAUGAGUAAAGUGGCGCACGGGUGAGUAACGCGUGGAUAAUCUGCCCUUUAGUUUGGAAUAACGUACCGAAAGGUGCGCUAAUACCGGAUAAUACUGAAUGACUACUGUCGUUUAGUCAAAGAAGGCUUCUGUUUACAUGCUUUUGCUGAAGGAUGAGUCCGCGUACCAUUAGCUAGUUGGUAGGGUAAUGGCCUACCAAGGCGACGAUGGUUAGCUGGUCUGAGAGGAUGAUCAGCCACACUGGAACUGAGACACGGUCCAGACUCCUACGGGAGGCAGCAGUGAGGAAUAUUGCGCAAUGGGGGCAACCCUGACGCAGCAACGCCGCGUGAGUGAGGAAGGUUUUCGGACCGUAAAGCUCUGUCGAGCGGGAAGAAAUGCAUGGUGGCUAAUAUCCAUCAUGCUUGACGGUACCGCUAAAGGAAGCACCGGCUAACUCCGUG